RNAcentral lists this ribosomal RNA (465 nucleotides) under uncultured bacterium. Its description in RNAcentral is "partial 16S ribosomal RNA". It matches the Rfam family "Bacterial small subunit ribosomal RNA", at positions 338 to 795 of the family's 1533-position model. The record is from RNAcentral.
CCUACGGGAGGCAGCAGUGGGGAAUAUUGCGCAAUGGGCGAAAGCCUGACGCAGCGACGCCGCGUGCGGGCUGAAGGUCUUCGGAUUGUAAACCUCUGUCUGCAGGGAAGAACGGUCACUGUGCUAAUCAGCAGUGAAUUGACGGUACCUGCAAAGGAAGCACCGGCUAACUCCGUGCCAGCAGCCGCGGUAAUCCGGCGGGUGCGAGCGUUAAUCGGAAUUACUGGGCGGAAAGCGCCCGUAGGCGGUAUGUUAAGUCAAGGGUGAAAUCCCCCCGCUCAACGUGGGAACUGCCUUUGAAACUGGCAAACUGGAGUGUAGGAGAGGAUAGUGGAAUUCCAGGUGUAGGAGUGAAAUCCGUAGAGAUCUGGAGGAACAUCAGUGGCGAAGGCGACUAACUGGCACAUAACUGACGCUGAUGAGCGAAAGCGUGGGUAGCAAACAGGAUUAGAUACCCCAGUAGUC